GUCUAUGGCCAUCCCACCCUGAACAAGCCCGAUCUCAUCUGAUCUCGGAAGCUAAGCAGGGUCGGGCCUGGUUAGUACUUGAAUGGGGGACCACCUAGGAAGACCAGGUGCUGUAGGUG
Molecule: ribosomal RNA, 119 nt
Filed under: Pteropus alecto (black flying fox)
Lineage: Eukaryota; Metazoa; Chordata; Mammalia; Chiroptera; Pteropodidae
Source: RNAcentral